CCAGAAUUAAGAGAAAAGAAAAGAAUGAUUAGAAAAAGGCUUAAAAGAUUCAUGAAUGCAAAGGGUAGAGUUAAGUUCUUAUAUUGGGAUUGGAGAUGGGAUUACCAUUAGAGCUUCAUUUGAUAUACUCUGGGUAGAUGACAUCUUAUCUUUGUAUGCAUAGCUUGGGACUUACCUUUAGUAGAAUGCUAAAGGUAAGUCCCAAGCUAUGCAUACAGAGAUAAGAUCCCAUCUACCCAAAGUAUAUCAAAUGAAGCUCUAAUGGUAAUCCCAUCUCCAAUCCCAAUAUGUGAACUUAACUCUACCCUUUGCAUUCAUGAAUCUUUUAAGCCCUUUUCUAAUCAUUCUUUUCUUUUCUUUUAACUCUAGGAGAAGCUUUCUCAACACUUUGAUACAUCUAGCAGAUUUGGAUUUCUUUAACAACUAAGGUUCCUGUUUUUAACAUUUUAAAACCGAGGGCUUUUGCCAUCUUCAAUAGCUAACAAGAACUCUUUCUUUUCUUCACAAAUCCCAAAUUUUUCUUCUUCUUUAGCUUACUUCACCUAGAGUCUUUUACCUUUUCUCAUCAAUGAAUCAACCCUUUUUUUUUUUUUUUUAAACACAUCCCAACCCAAAGUAUAAGCGCCCACCUAGUCCUAUAUAGUCCGAAAAAUACGAACUAGAACUACAUGAGACACUAUCUUUGUCGUUACGAACCUAACACUUUCUACCAAGCUAAAUCGGAAUAAGACCUCACAAACACUCACAAGUGAUAUAGGACUUGAAAGAAAGUCUAGGUUUGGGUUUGGGUUAACUGCUCUAAUAAGGAGAGUCAGCUACUUGGAUUAACAAGAGUGAUCAAAAUGAAUAAGAAAAUCCAAGUAUUUUAUGGUAUCCAUGAGUUCAAAUUUGAUGCAGACAUGAUAAUUAAAGAUCAGAUUCAGGUUCAAAUUUAUAGGGAAUGGUAUCAGAUCAUGACCGUGUGGUCGAGUAGAGCAAUCUAGGCAUGGUUCAGUUUAAUUUCAAAUUCAUUGUCUAUGCAACACACAACUAGCAACGAGGGCACUGAGUUUAUCCGGUGAACAAAAAUGCUUACAGGGCUAUCUCAUCAUUAUCCCCUAUGCAUAUGCAACAAUCCUAAAUGAAACACUCUAGACUCGAUCCCAAAUGUAAUGCAACUACAUGAACACUCUUUUUUUUUUUUUGUGAAAUCAUUUUCUGAAAUUUUUCAAAUUUUUUUGGUUUUUCUAUGCCUUAGAUGAAUGCAGACUCAAGAAUAUAUACAAUGCAACACACACUUCGUGAGCCCUCCCCCAAACUUAAAUCACAUAGUCGACUGUGUGAAUAAACUUGGAAGAGAGUACUCAGGACAAAUCCAAUCACAGAAAUAAAAUGAAGAAACAAAUCACAACAGAUGAUAUAAUAUAAUGGUGAAGUGAGGCGCUUACCUUAGUAGAAGAAUGAACGUAGUUGCUCGUCAAUGGCUGCCUGUGAUUGCUCCCAGGCCAUAGAAGAACCGCCCUGUUCUGUAUCAGCUCCAGCAGGUGGGUACUCGACCUCAUCAGCUUUGUGGCGGCCAACACUGCUCUGAGGAUACUCGACCUCUCUUCUUCUACUACGGCCAGCACCGCGGUCGAGUGAUCUCUUGGCGUGGAUAAGCUAAAACAUGGUCGAGUAUUUUUCAUUGCUAUGUGGUCGAGUAUACAGCUGUACACUCAUAGCCAAAAUCCACUUCACUCAGCUCUUUAUACUUAUCUCCUGAAGACACUAAUCAAAUGCAUCAAAAACAACAAGGAAAUAUAAAGAUAUGUACAAAGAUAGACAUGGGAUUUCCUCCCAAGUGUGCUUGUUUUAAGUCUCUAAGCUUGACUUCUCAUACUCAUUAGGCUUAGGGUGCGUUGCAGAGAGAAAAUGAGGUCUCCUCUCCUUCUUGAGUAGAGUGAUCAACAUACUCAUUAGGGUUUCUUGACAGGUCUGCAAUUGGAUACUUAGUGAUCAUGUCCUCAUAGUAAGCUUCUUUUUUAUCAAGAUAGUCUUCUCCUCUAGACCAUUCCAAUGUGAAUUUACAUCCUUCUUUGCUGACCAGAAUAGUGGCUCCAUCCUCAGGGGCGUCCUUGAUGUUGAGUGGUAUUUGGUUGGCUUUUCCAUUGAGCUCCUUGAUUUGAUCCUUCAGCUCUUUUACAAUAUGUUUUAGCUCAUGUAUGGCUUUGUCCUGCCAUUUAGAUCUCUCCUUGAGUUCUAACCAAUCAAUUGACGUCUGAGUGCUUGCCUUGAGUUGUUUGGUCGAGCAUGAGCUUUCAGGACAAGUUGGAGGCUUCUUCGAGUUGUUGGUGGAAUCAGUUGGUCGAGCAUGUGUUGAACUUACUUCAUUAGCUUUCAUAACCUUUGUGUCAGACCCCAUCAAGCCCUUGUAAACCUCUGAGUCAACUGCUGCCUUCUGUGAGUCAAAUGACUUCUUAGAACUCAAAGUUUCACUAGGGAGAUACCCAUCUUUACCAUUCUUGGUCAAAACAGUUUUUGAAUCAUUUGCUUCUUCAAGUUCCACUAGCAGUGCACCAGCUAGCUGAUCCACUUCCUUAAUUAAGAAGGUAUGUUCUUCUAUUGUCGGCUUCUUCAUAGCAUCAUUGAUAUCAAACUUCAUUUCAAAAUUCUUCCCCAGAUUAAGAUCAAUCUUUCCUUGCUUAACAUCUAUGAUUGCUCCAGCUGUAGCCAAAAAGGGCCUUCUUAAUAUCAAGGGAUCUUUUGGUUCUUCAUCCAUGUUUAGCACUACGAAGUCUGUAGGCACCUCCACAUUUCCAAUCUAAUAGGCAAAUCUUCUAAUAACUCAUGAGGUAGUCUAACAGACCUAUCAGCCAAGAUCAAGGAGAUAUUGCAGUAUUUUUAAUACUUGUUAAAACCCAACCUCUUAGCUACUGAGAGUGGCAUGAGAUUUACUGACGCUCCUAGGUCACAAAGGCAUUUAUUGAAAGUCAAUGAACCUAGGGAGUAUGGUAGAGUGAAUGAACCAGGGUCUCCUAGUUUUUCUGAGACAUCGUUCUCAUCUAUGAUGGCACUGCACUCAUGGCUCAUAACUGUUGUUUUCUAAACCUCUUGAAUUCUCUCCAUGAUCAAGUCUUUGAGGAACUUUUGGGAAUCCAGGAUACGCGUUAGAGCAUCAGCGAGACGUAUCCUUAAUUCCACUUCCUUGAUGUUUUUGGCAAACAUAGCUCUGUACUUAUCUUCUAACUCUUUCUUGUGUCGACCAGGAAAUGGAAGUGGGGGCUUGUAAGGAGGAGGAAUGAAGACCUUUUCUUUGUUUUUGACAGCAACUAGUUUUGGAGCAGUUGGUGAUGUUGCUCGGAAGGUCGGUCGAGUAAAGUGGUCGAGUGGCUGCUCGAGUGACUGGUCGAGUGACUGGUUGAGUGGCUGCUCGAGUGACUGGUCGAGUGCCUGCUCGAGUUGUUUGCCAGCUUGAUCUUUAUUGAGACUGAAAUCCUCCCCAUUUUAGUAUGCACUGUCCUCAGUGACUGACUUGGGUCUCUCUCCAGUAGAUAACUCUCUUCCACUUCUUAUGGUGAUAGCAUGAACAUUAGCAUACUCCUUUGGAGUCUGUAUUGACUUUCCAGGAAGUCCUGUAACUUUGGGCGCUGAGGUAGAUGCUGAUUGUCCUUCCAAGUAUCUGACUUUGGUAUUCAAUGCCUCCAGUUUGGCGUUCAGGUCAUUGUAGCUGCAGUCCAGCUUAUGGUGCAAUUCAAAUAACUUCUUAGCAAUUUCCAUGGAGCUAGAUGUUUGUCCCUGUAGCAGCUGUUGUACCAUUUAUUUCAUUUCAGCAUCAUGAGCAGCAGGACCUUGGUUUUGCUGAUGUGCACAUCCAGGUGGUGGUUGUUGCUGGUAGUUCCCUUGAAAUUGCUGCUUGGGAACAAAACCUUGAUUGUAGGGAACAAAAGGUUUGUUCUGACCUUGUUGUUGCUGUGGAGGAUACACUUGGUCUUGUGGAUUAGCAACGUUGGUACUACGGUAGGAGAGGUUGGUGUUGUUGGUCUUGAAGUUGUUAUACCCUUUGUAGCCACCCAGGUUGUUGUUGAUGUAGUUAACUUCUUCUAACUGGUUACCCUCCCCAUCCUGGACCUGAUACUGCUCGUCAUCAACAAGGAAGUACACAUGCUUCUGCUGGCUAAGGAGUAUUCUGUCCAGCUUGUCAUUCCGCGCUUUGAUCUCCUUCAUGUGUUUGUCAUCAGAGUCAGCUGUGCCUAUGACGGUCCUAUCGCAGUCCUCGUUGUAAUUACCAUCUGAUUGAGCAAGGUUCUCAACCAAUUCCCAGCCUUCUUCAACAUCUUUGUUCUGGAAGUUCCCAUUGCUGGCGGUAUCCAGAAGCAUUCUGAUGCGUGGCAAAACGCCUCUAUAAAGAGUGCUGAGCAGAGAGGCUUUAGUGAAGCCAUGAUGAGGGCAUUGGUUGGUAUAACCCUUGAAACGCUCCCAUGCUUCAUAGAAGCUUUCACCAGCCUUCUGUAAAAAAACCAGAGAUCUCAUUUCUGAGUCUUGCAGUUCUGGUGUUUUAGAAGAACUUUGAUAGAAAAGGCUUCUUGCAAUCAUCCCAGGUGGUGAUUGAGUCAUGGGGCAGAUUCUUCUCCCAGAUGUGUGCUUUGUCACCCAAGGAGAAUGAAAAAAAUGGAGCUUGAAUCCGUCUUCACUGACACCAUUGAUUUUUGUUAGGUUGUAGAGCCUAUCAAAUUCAUCAAGGUGGUCGAGUGGAUCCUCCAUUGGCAGACCAUGGAAUUUGUUCCCCUGAAUCAUCGAGAUGAGACCACUCUUAAUCUCGAAGUUGUUGUUCUGGAUAGCAGGAGGUGCAAUUCCUUUCCGCUGACGCUGAUCACGUGGUGCGUCUCCAGCACCAAUGUUGGCAGGGCUAUUUUGUUCAUUCUGUUCGUCGGCCAUUUCGAGUGAUUGUUGUGGUAUUAGGUUGACUGUGUUUCUCCUUUCUCUGAGUUCGUGAGCUAUGCGGUCGAUGUUGUCGUUGAAAAGGAGGUUCUGAUUGCCUGUUGAUCGAGUUUGCAUACAGCAGAGGUGUACCUGGAUCAAGAAGACAACAAGAAAAAUACACAGUUAGCAACCAAAUUGAAAAUUGAAAAAGAACUUGAUCUAAGCAAGUAUGAAAUCUCAAAUGUAACAAACAAACACCCAAUUGGCAACGACGCCAAAUUGAUAAUAGGUUUUUAAGAUCAAUUAAUCCUAAAACACUAUCAUGUCGUUGUAGUACUGAAGGUUGUCAAUCCAAAUGGGUGUGAUGCUAACAAUCAAGAUGUGAUCAGAAGUCACUAAGUCAAGCCAAGCAAUAACAGGUUUUGGUGUGUUCUAGCAGUCCUAAGUGAACAUGCAGAAAACAGAAAAUCAAACAGAUGCAGUAAAACACUCGACCAACACAGCUCUUUGCAGAGAAGUGGGUGAGGUCGAGUGACAGGUCGAGUAACAGACAGAAAAUAUAUGGAAUGAAUGGGAAUGAGAAUGAGAAUGAAAGAAAAAAAAA
RNAcentral lists this small RNA (5482 nucleotides) under Arabidopsis thaliana (thale cress). Its description in RNAcentral is "ATSL033030". The stretch from base 4391 to 4498 matches the Rfam family "Plant small nucleolar RNA R71". The record is from RNAcentral. Lineage: Eukaryota; Viridiplantae; Streptophyta; Magnoliopsida; Brassicales; Brassicaceae.